UGUUGUGUGGUAUUGUAAUGACCUAUAGAUGUUAAUCUAAAAUUUGUUGUAACCACAUGUACGAGAACUUGUCACUUGG
Juglans microcarpa x Juglans regia is the source of this 79-nucleotide long non-coding RNA. RefSeq lists it as uncharacterized. NCBI's taxonomy places the organism in Eukaryota, Viridiplantae, Streptophyta, Magnoliopsida, Fagales, Juglandaceae. The transcript has 3 exons. The record is from RefSeq and is a predicted model, not a curated record.